GCUUCAAAUUGUUGACAAGUUAAAUCAGGGCCUUCGGGAUCAGAAACUUGAUCAGGGUUUUGCAAAUGACAUACUUGAAGAAAUAGCUCGGGCAGUUGGGGUUCCUGUAGAACCUUCAGAAAUAAGCAAAGAACUGGCAAGCUUUAGAAAGGAAAAAGAAGAAGCUGCCAGCCGAAAAGAAAGGGCUGAAGUUCUCUUCUUAGAGCAGGUUAUUGAGCUGCUUUCUCGAGCUGAUGCUGCUAGAGAUUAUGAAGAAGUCAAGAAGCAGUAUUUUCAGAGGGUUCAGGUUAUAGAGCGGUACGAUGAGAGGGAGGAAUAUAUAGAUCCUCUUUCUCCUUUCCUUUGUCGUAUAAAUGGGACUGUGAUGAAUGAUCCUGUUAGCCUUUGCACUGGUACUACAUGUGAGAGAGCUGCCAUUGAAGCUUGGUUUGACCGUGGAGAGAGAACUGACCCAGAAACUGGUCAGAUUCUUGAGGACAUAACUUUGAGGUCAAACCUUCCCCUUAGACAAUCAAUAGAGGAAUGGAGAGAACUGAAUUAUUGCCUUAGAGUAAGAGCUUGUAAGGCAAAGUUGUUAUCACAUGUGGACUCCUCUGUGGAAGAUGCCUUGAGCCAAAUGCAGGAUCUGAUGAGAGAAAACUCUAUAAACAAGGAUUGGGUGUCUAUUGGAGGCCUUACAGAUAUUAUCAUAUCUAUCCUUGGGAGCUCUCACAACAAAGAUGUAAAGAGGAAGAUUUUAGUUACUUUAAAAGAUAUAGCCGAAGGGCAUGCAAAGAAUAAGGAAAAAUUGAUCAACCAUGAGGGGUGGGAUCACAUUAUUCCCUGCUUAGUGCGUGACUCGAGCAUCUCCAAGGCUGCAGUGGAAUUGCUAUUUGAGUUGCUGCAAGAGAGGUCUGGUUGGAAUGUUUCUGUUUGCAGGAAACUUUCACAACAGAGCAGUGCAAUUCUUUUCCUUGUCACCCUCUUGACUAGUCCUGUCAGGGAAUCUUCAGUUUAUGCAGAAAAAAUCUUGAAUAAACUUUUUGAAGUUGAUGAGGAGAAUAUACCCCGUGCCGCAAAGUCAGGCUGGUAUAAGCCACUUGUUGAUCGGAUUGUACAAGGGCCGGAGUCUUCAAGGAUAUCGAUGGUCAGAGCUGUAGUUAAUAUGGAAUUGGUUGAUUCAAAUUUAAAGCUACUUGGUGAGGAAGGGAUAAUACCUCCUUUGCUUGAAAUGGUGGGAUCUGGCAAUAUCGAAUCAAAGGAGUUGUCCUUGUCUGCCUUGAUUAAGCUGUCUGAUUGCAAUUUCAAUAAAGAGCUUAUUGCUGCUGCUGGUGGGCUUUCUCUUGUUUUAAACCUCAUGUUCUCUUCCCAUAUACGAACAAUUAUUAUUACUAAAUGUGCUGAAAUCCUAGAGAGAAUUUCCUCUUCUGAUGAUGGAAUUAAGUACUUUGUUGAUGAAAAUGGAACCCAGCUCAACUUAGAACCAAUUAUCAAGAAUUUGUUAGGUUUGCAACAGGUCCCAAGCUUAUCCCAUAGCGUUCGAAGGCCUGCCUUGCGUGCACUUAUCGGGAUAUGCAAAUUUGAUGCAGCAUUGGUUAAGACUGCAGUUCUUACUGCCAAUGGUGUAUCGUUAAUACUUCCUUUUCUUGAUGACACAGACUCACAAAUUCGUGAAACUGCAAUUACUAUUCUUUUCCUCUUCUCCCAUCAUGAAUCACAGGGAGUGGUGGAACACCUGCUUAAACCAAAAAGGCUUGAGGCUUUGGUGGGGUUUCUUGAGAAUGAUGAUAAGGGUGAUGUGCAGAAGGCUGCUGCUGGUUUAUUAGCCAAUCUUCCCAAAUCUGAAGUAACACUGACUAUGAGGCUAAUUGAGCUGGAUGGGGUCAAUGCGCUCAUAAAUAUUAUCAGAACAGGGGACAUGGAAGCCAAGGAAAAUGCUCUAAGUGCACUGUUCAGGUUUACGGAUCCCACAAAUCUUGAGUCACAACAUAUUGUGGUUGAACAAGGAGCUUACCCUUUGCUUGUAAACUUACUGAGAACUGGUUCUGUAACUGCAAAGGCCAGAGCAGCAGCACUUAUUGGUGAUCUUUCCAAGAGCAGUCCGAAGCUUGUUAUUGUGUCCAAUCCAACUGGCUGCUGGUGUUUUCGGCCAACACGCCCUAAGUUAUGCCCAGCACAUGCAGGCAUCUGUAGUGUAAAAACUACAUUUUGUCUCCUGGAGGCAAAUGCUUUGCCUUUCUUGGUAGAACUCUUGCAGGGAGAGGUUCCUGCAACUGCUCAUGAAGCAAUCCAGACACUCUCCACACUGGUUCUGGAAGGGUCUCCUAACAGAGGAGCCAAUGUGUUGCAUGAGGCUGAUGCCAUAAAGCCUGUGAUAGAGAUUUUAGGCCGGGGAACAGAUUCUCUAAAAGAAGAGGCUUUGAAACUCUUGGAGAAGGUCUUUUUGUCAAGGGAUAUGGUGGAACACUAUAAAUCAACAACUAGGUUUCAUCUUGUUAGCCUGACAGGGAGGAAUGUUCACGAGGAUAGCCGAAUUGGGAGGAAGGCUGCAAGAGUUUUAUCACUCCUUGAACGCUAUUCAAAAUCAUCAUCUCUUCUGCCAGGAAUAUUUGGUUGAAUAGAUCUGUAGUCAGGCCUAUCUCUGUUCUUCAGGAGUCAGGAAUUCUUUGCACAUGAAUACUUACAAUAUUAAUUUACUUGAUGUUUUGGUCAUCUUACUCGAGUCAGGAUCUCAUGCUGCAAUAGUGUCAUGGUAUUUUGUGUGUGACUAUUUUUUCCACCCUAUUUUUCAUAGAUGAGUCUGUACAGAAACAUUUAAAGUCAACUAUUGGCUGCACUUAGACAUCUCAAUGAUAUUUAUUUAUUUAUUAAGACCAUUUCCA
Molecule: unclassified non-coding RNA, 2861 nt
Filed under: Hevea brasiliensis (rubber tree)
Lineage: Eukaryota; Viridiplantae; Streptophyta; Magnoliopsida; Malpighiales; Euphorbiaceae
Source: RNAcentral